RNAcentral lists this ribosomal RNA (789 nucleotides) under Triticum aestivum (bread wheat). Its description in RNAcentral is "partial small subunit ribosomal RNA". Lineage: Eukaryota; Viridiplantae; Streptophyta; Magnoliopsida; Poales; Poaceae. The record is from RNAcentral.
AUGAGAAUGCCGAACCCUAGGGAAGUUGACAGAGCUCUGUUGGUUGAAAACAUUAAACUGAAACAGUGUGGUGUUAGUGUCAAGUUCUCCCCCUGGUCUGAGGAUAUUGACUCUGAGGGUCUGCUGGAGAUUGCCUGGGUUAGAAUUGGGAAAAUUCCACCUAAUAAGAGGUGUGAGAAAACUGUAGCUUAUGUGGGAGGCCUAGUUGGGAUUACUCUGGAAGUCGAUAUGUCAACUAUCAAUCGCCCCUCAUCUGUCAGGGCUAAGAUUGGCUGUCGCUCAAUUGCCCAACUCCCUGCCACUGCUGAGGGAGUGCUUGCAGGACGCUUUUAUAGAUUUACUUAUGAGGUUGAGGAGGUUUUGGUCAGAAAUCCUGUUGAGGAAGAAACUAUGGACCCCAUUCCUGAUGAAAGAACCAAACCUGACCAAACCCCUAAGAGGAAGCGUACUGAACAAGAGAAAGGAGAAACUCACAGUGAAUCUGCUGGGCGCAGUGCUCCUGGGGGAUCUUACCGCGGUGGCAAGGCCUGUCGCCUGCUAUGCGAUGAAAAAGAGGGAUCUAUCUCCUCUGAGAGUGAUACAGACAAUUCCUUGCUUAUCGAAACCAUGCAGAGAGAGAUUGAUGAAAAACUGCAUGAGAAGUGUGGGGGCUCAUCGAACUGGACUGUUCCCAUGAACCCUGAUGUUGCUGAAUCCUCUAUCCAAAAUAUUCAGGUGACAAGUGCUUCUCAUAAAAAAAUUCUAUGCCUCGUCGAACUGUUUCUAACCUGUCUCAGAUUGUGGAGGUGA